CCCACAAGGAGGCGAGAACUGCAUACUGCACUUUGGCACUCCAUGACAAGGACAACUUUACAUGCUCCAGAAAUCUGCAGAAAUUCAACAGAGGUUUUGCUAUGCUUUCUGCUCGUCUUUGCCUUCAAACAAAACCAUGUUCAAUGGAGACAGACAACAGGAUUUCCCCAAGGAAUGCACUGAAAUACUGUUAUGUCUUUGCCUGUUCUUGGCUGAUUGAGAUAUUAAUUAAUUAUGGGAAUAAGCCUAGGAAAAUAAAG
Molecule: long non-coding RNA, 260 nt
Organism: Parus major (Great Tit)
Lineage: Eukaryota; Metazoa; Chordata; Aves; Passeriformes; Paridae
Exons: 3
Source: RefSeq, a predicted model, not a curated record